Molecule: non-coding RNA, 208 nt
Organism: Oryza glumipatula
Lineage: Eukaryota; Viridiplantae; Streptophyta; Magnoliopsida; Poales; Poaceae
Source: Rfam
AAAAAAUACAGUUUUACACUAUUCAUCUUCAAUGUUUGACCGUUCGUUUUAUUUGAAAAAAAUUUAUGAUUACUAUUUUUAUUGCUAUUAGAUGAUAAAAUAUGAAUAGUACUUUAUGUGUGGCUAAUUUUUUAAAAAAAAAUUUUAAAUUUUUUAAAUAAGACGGACGGUCAAACGUUGGACAUGAAUUUUCACAACUGUAUUUAUU